This 401-nucleotide unclassified non-coding RNA is filed under the name soil metagenome. RNAcentral describes it as "partial contains 5.8S ribosomal RNA, internal transcribed spacer 2, and large subunit ribosomal RNA". The stretch from base 1 to 121 matches the Rfam family "5.8S ribosomal RNA", at positions 35 to 154 of the family's 154-position model. The record is from RNAcentral.
GAUGAAGAACGCAGCUAAAUGCGAUAAGUAAUGUGAAUUGCAGAAUUCAGUGAAUCAUCGAAUCUUUGAACGCACCUUGCGCCCCUUGGUUAUUCCAAAGGGCAUGCCUGUUUGAGUAUCAUGAACACCUCAACUCUUGUGGUUUCCCACAAUGAGCUUGGACUGUGGAGGUUUUGUUGGCCCUGUGGUCAGCUCCUCUCAAAUGGAUCAGCUUACCGGUGUUUGGUGGCAUUACGGGUGUGAUAACUAUCUACGCUCGUGGUCGUCUCCAAAUAACCUCCAGUGAUGGAGGUUCGCUGGAGCUUAUAAAUGUCUCUCCCCAGUGAAGACAGCCUUUGAACGUUCGAUCUCAAAUCAGGUAGGACUACCCGCUGAACUUAAGCAUAUCAAUAAGCGGAGGA